UACGUAGGUGGCAAGCGUUGUCCGGAAUUACUGGGUGUAAAGGGAGCGUAGGCGGGAAGGCAAGUUGGAUGUGAAAUCCCCGGGCUCAACUCGGGAGCUGCAUCCAAAACUGUUUUUCUUGAGUGAAGUAGAGGCAGGCGGAAUUCCUAGUGUAGCGGUGAAAUGCGUAGAUAUUAGGAGGAACACCAGUGGCGAAGGCGGCCUGCUGGGCUUUAACUGACGCUGAGGCUCGAAAGCGUGGGGAGCAAACAGG
This 253-nucleotide ribosomal RNA is filed under the name uncultured bacterium. RNAcentral describes it as "partial 16S ribosomal RNA". It matches the Rfam family "Bacterial small subunit ribosomal RNA", at positions 524 to 776 of the family's 1533-position model. The record is from RNAcentral.